UACAGAGGGUGCGAGCGUUGUCCGGAUUCAUUGGGCGUAAAGAGCUCGUAGGCGGCUCAGUAAGUCGGGUGUGAAACCCUCAGGCUCAACCUGGGGACGCCACUCGAUACUGCUGUGGCUAGAGUCCAGUAGAGGAGUGUGGAAUUCCCGGUGUAGCGGUGAAAUGCGCAGAUAUCGGGAGGAACACCAACGGCGAAGGCAGCACUCUGGGCUGGAACUGACGCUGAGGAGCGAAAGCGUGGGGAGCGAACAGG
This 254-nucleotide ribosomal RNA is filed under the name uncultured bacterium. RNAcentral's name for it is "partial 16S ribosomal RNA". It matches the Rfam family "Bacterial small subunit ribosomal RNA", at positions 524 to 776 of the family's 1533-position model. The record is from RNAcentral.